Molecule: ribosomal RNA, 164 nt
Filed under: Hordeum brachyantherum subsp. californicum
Lineage: Eukaryota; Viridiplantae; Streptophyta; Magnoliopsida; Poales; Poaceae
Description: 5.8S ribosomal RNA
Rfam family: 5.8S ribosomal RNA
About the family: 5.8S ribosomal RNA (5.8S rRNA) is a component of the large subunit of the eukaryotic ribosome. It is transcribed by RNA polymerase I as part of the 45S precursor that also contains 18S and 28S rRNA.
Source: RNAcentral
CACACGACUCUCGGCAACGGAUAUCUCGGCCCUCGCAUCGAUGAAGAGCGUAGCAAAAUGCGAUACCUGGUGUGAAUUGCAGAAUCCCGCGAACCAUCGAGUUUUUGAACGCAAGUUGCGCCCGAGGCCUUCUGGCUGAGGGCACGUCUGCCUGAGCGUCACUC